AUUGAACGCUGGCGGCAGGCUUAACACAUGCAAGUCGAACGAGUGGCGGACGGGUGAGUAAUGCCUGGGAAACUGCCUGAUGGAGGGGGAUAACUACCGGAAACGGUAGCUAAUACCGCAUACCAUCAGAUGUGCCCAGAUGGGAUUAGGUUGUUGGUGAGGUAACGGCUAACCAAGCCGACGACCCCUAGCUGGUCUGAGAGGAUGACCAGCCACACUGGAACUGAGACACGGUCCAGACUCCUACGGGAGGCAGCAGUGGGGAAUAUUGCACAAUGGGCGCAAGCCUGAUGCAGCCGUGCCGCGUGUAUGAAGAAGGCAUUCGGGUUGUAAAGUACUUUCGGCGGGGAGGCGUUGCCCACAGAAGAAGCACCGGCUGACUCCGUGCCAGCAGCCGCGAUAAUGC
Molecule: ribosomal RNA, 406 nt
Filed under: uncultured bacterium
Lineage: Bacteria
Description: partial 16S ribosomal RNA
Rfam family: Bacterial small subunit ribosomal RNA
Source: RNAcentral